Molecule: ribosomal RNA, 481 nt
Filed under: uncultured bacterium
Lineage: Bacteria
Description: partial 16S ribosomal RNA
Rfam family: Bacterial small subunit ribosomal RNA
Source: RNAcentral
GAUGAACGCUGGCGGCGUGCUUAACACAUGCAAGUCGAACGAAGCAUUUAAGACAGAUUACUUCGGUUUGAAGUCUUUUAUGACUGAGUGGCGGACGGGUGCGUAACGCGUGGGUAACCUGCCUCAUACAGGGGGAUAGCAGCUGGAAACGGCUGGUAAUACCGCAUAAGCGCACAGUACCACAUGGUACAGUGUGAAAAACUCCGGUGGUAUGAGAUGGACCCGCGUCUGAUUAGCUUGUUGGCGGGGUAACGGCCCACCAAGGCGACGAUCAGUAGCCGACCUGAGAGGGUGACCGGCCACAUUGGGACUGAGACACGGCCCAGACUCCUACGGGAGGCAGCAGUGGGGAAUAUUGCACAAUGGAGGAAACUCUGAUGCAGCGACGCCGCGUGAGUGAAGAAGUAGUUCGCUAUGUAAAGCUCUAUCAGCAGGGAAGAUAGUGACGGUACCUGACUAAGAAGCUCCGGCUAAAUACGUG